CCACUGUGCCACUAUUCCGUUACGUUUCGUAUGUACGUUCAGUGUUUCCCAUACAUAGACCAACGGAUUCGCCCGCUCCUCUCAACGCGCCUACAAAGGAAAACCCGAAGCAGCGGAUAUUUGAGAUUAAUGUGAAAUGCGGUUAUAGUUUAUUUAUAUUAUGGUGUCAGACCCCAAGCCCGUUCUGCCGGCGAUUUGAAUUCGCUCUGAAGCAGGGACUGGAGAUCGGGAAGUGGGCCGGUCCACUUUGAAAUGUAUUUUGUGCGCGAUUACGCGAAUGAGCAAACGCAAAAUGUAAAGGUGUAUAGAAUUGAGAUAAAGGUGUAUAGAGCAGUAGAAUUGGGUUCCUUACACUUCAAGCCGAUUUGAAUGAUUUUCAUCCUGUCCACUAGUUUUGAUUAUUAGCUAAGAAUCUGGUGCAGAACCAAUUAUUAUAUAGGGAUCCAGGCAAAUGGAUCUUGGUCUGUCUACCUGUUAAGUUCCAUAUAGGUGAGGUAAAGGUCAGGUUUCAGGGUAAUCUGACCAACCUACUCAACUUUAACCUAAUGCCCACCAACCUAGUGCUUAGAGCCAAUAUGUCAGCUGGAUUAAUCAAGCCAACUGCUAGACGGAGACGGCCACAAGUGUGUGACUCGUAUUCUUUAUAGUAGGCAAGGCAACUUUAUUUAUAUAGCACUUUUCAUACACAAGGCAGACUCAAAGUGCUUCACAUAUAAACAUUGUUAUACAAUAAAAUAAAA
Gadus macrocephalus (Pacific cod) is the source of this 740-nucleotide long non-coding RNA. RefSeq lists it as uncharacterized. NCBI's taxonomy places the organism in Eukaryota, Metazoa, Chordata, Actinopteri, Gadiformes, Gadidae. The record is from RefSeq and is a predicted model, not a curated record. The transcript is spliced from 2 exons.